GAUGAACGCUGGCGGCGUGCCUAAUACAUGCAAGUCGAGCGAACAAAUGAUGAGCUUACUCCUCUGAAGUUAGCGGCGGACGGGUGAGUAACACGUGGAUAACCUAUCAAUACUACUGGGAUAACUUCGAGAAACCGGAGCUAGUAGAGGAUGCUAUAUUGCAACACAUAGAUCAAUAGUGAAAGAAGGUCUUGCUAUGACUUAUCGACGGAUCGGCGCCGCAUUAGCUAGUUGGUGAGGUAACGGCUUACCAAGGCAACGAUGCUUAGCCGAGCUGAGAGGGUGAUAGGCCACACUGGAACUGAGACACGGUCCAGACUCCUACGGGAGGCAGCAGUAGGGAAGCUUCCGCAAUUGGCGAAAGCCUGACGGAGCAACGCCGCGUGAGUGAUGAAGGUCUUCGGAUCGUAAAACUCUGUUAUUAGGGAAGAACAAAUGUGUAAGUAACUAUGCACGUCUUGACGGUACCUAAUCAGAAAGCCACGGCUAACUACGUG
This 497-nucleotide ribosomal RNA is filed under the name uncultured bacterium. RNAcentral describes it as "partial 16S ribosomal RNA". It matches the Rfam family "Bacterial small subunit ribosomal RNA", at positions 28 to 507 of the family's 1533-position model. The record is from RNAcentral.